RNAcentral lists this transfer RNA (71 nucleotides) under Alistipes communis. RNAcentral's name for it is "tRNA-Gln". It matches the Rfam family "tRNA". From Rfam's summary of the family: Transfer RNA (tRNA) molecules are approximately 80 nucleotides in length. Their secondary structure includes four short double-helical elements and three loops (D, anti-codon, and T loops). Lineage: Bacteria; Pseudomonadati; Bacteroidota; Bacteroidia; Bacteroidales; Rikenellaceae. The record is from RNAcentral. RNAcentral also lists the same sequence under 1 other name.
UGCGCCGUGGUGUAGGGGAAACACAUCACCCUUUGGAGGUGAAAUCGCAGGUUCGAAUCCUGCCGGCGCGA